CCAACUCGUCACAUACUGACGCUUUGUCAGACCCCUUGGCGUCACUUUUUCCUCGAAGUAAACACGUGCUUUAUGUUGUGAAUCAAACAAAAGCACUUGCUUAGUUUUAGG
Molecule: long non-coding RNA, 111 nt
Organism: Sebastes umbrosus (honeycomb rockfish)
Lineage: Eukaryota; Metazoa; Chordata; Actinopteri; Perciformes; Sebastidae
Exons: 2
Source: RefSeq, a predicted model, not a curated record